AUGCGAUAAGUAGUGUGAAUUGCAGAAUUCAGUGAAUCAUCGAAUCUUUGAACGCACAUUGCGCCCCUUGGUAUUCCAUGGGGCAUGCCUGUUCGAGCGUCAUUUGUACCCUCAAGCUCUGCUUGGUGUUGGGUGUUUGUCCACUCCCUGGUGUUUGGACUCGCCUUAAAGCAAUUGGCAGCCAGUGUUUUGGUAUUGAAGCGCAGCACAUUUUGCGAUUCUAGCCUGAAAUACUAGCAUCCAGCAAGUCAUUUUUCACUUUUGACCUCGGAUCAGGUAGGGAUACCCGCUGAACUUAA
RNAcentral lists this unclassified non-coding RNA (299 nucleotides) under uncultured Pleosporales. RNAcentral describes it as "partial contains 5.8S ribosomal RNA, internal transcribed spacer 2, and large subunit ribosomal RNA". The stretch from base 1 to 102 matches the Rfam family "5.8S ribosomal RNA", at positions 53 to 154 of the family's 154-position model. Lineage: Eukaryota; Fungi; Ascomycota; Dothideomycetes; Pleosporales. The record is from RNAcentral.